Molecule: small RNA, 879 nt
Filed under: Phomopsis sp. 1 NV-2015
Lineage: Eukaryota; Fungi; Ascomycota; Sordariomycetes; Diaporthales; Diaporthaceae
Description: eukaryotic LSU rRNA
Rfam family: Eukaryotic large subunit ribosomal RNA
Source: RNAcentral
GCGGAGGAAAAGAAACCAACAGGGAUUGCCCUAGUAACGGCGAGUGAAGCGGCAACAGCUCAAAUUUGAAAUCUGGCUUCGGCCCGAGUUGUAAUUUGCAGAGGAUGUUUCUGGCGCGGUGCCUUCCGAGUUCCCUGGAACGGGACGCCACAGAGGGUGAGAGCCCCGUAUGGUUGGACACCAAGCCUGUGUGAAACUCCUUCAACGAGUCGAGUAGUUUGGGAAUGCUGCUCUAAAUGGGAGGUAAAUCUCUUCUAAAGCUAAAUACCGGCCAGAGACCGAUAGCGCACAAGUAGAGUGAUCGAAAGAUGAAAAGCACCUUGAAAAGGGGGUUAAAUAGUACGUGAAAUUGUUGAAAGGGAAGCACUUAUGACCAGACUUGGGCCGGGCGGCUCAUCAGGGGUUCUCCCCUGUGCACUCCGCCCGGCACAGGCCAGCAUCGGUUCUCGUGGGGGGAUAAGACCGUCAGGAACGUAGCACCCUCCGGGGUGUGUUAUAGCCUGGCGGACGAUACCCCCGUGGGGACCGAGGUCCGCGCUCCGCAAGGAUGCUGGCGUAAUGGUCAUCAGUGACCCGUCUUGAAACACGGACCAAGGAGUCGUCCAUUAGAGCGAGCGUUUGGGUGUAAAACCCGCACGCGUAAUGAAAGUGAACGCAGGUGAGAGCUUCGGCGCAUCAUCGACCGAUCCUGAUGUUCUCGGAAGGAUUUGAGUAAGAGUUUUAACGGACGGACCCGAAAGACAGUGAACUAUGCUUGUAUAGGGUGAAGCCAGAGGAAACUCUGGUGGAGGCUCGCAGCGGUUCUGACGUGCAAAUCGAUCGUCAAAUAUGAGCAUGGGGGCGAAAGACUAAUCGAACUGUCUAGUAGCUGGUUACCGC